Molecule: unclassified non-coding RNA, 224 nt
Filed under: uncultured delta proteobacterium
Lineage: Bacteria; Deltaproteobacteria
Description: contains 16S-23S intergenic spacer region
Source: RNAcentral
UCCGGCUUAACGCCGGCAGUCCCCCUAGAGUGCCCAACUGAAUGGUGGCAACUAAGGGCAAGGGUUGCGCUCGUUGCGGGACUUAACCCAACACCUCACGGCACGAGCUGACGACAGCCAUGCAGCACCUGAACCGGCAGUCCCCGAAAGGAAGAUCCUAUUUCUAGGACGGUCCGCCGUUGUCUAGCCCAGGUAAGGUGGGGAUGACGUCCCACAGACUAUAC